Molecule: long non-coding RNA, 5169 nt
Filed under: Stegodyphus dumicola
Lineage: Eukaryota; Metazoa; Arthropoda; Arachnida; Araneae; Eresidae
Description: uncharacterized LOC118190300, transcript variant X2
Source: RNAcentral
GGCCAAGGCUUAGUUAUCUGCCUGUCUAAAGAUUGUUCUGCUAGUAAGGGUAAAUAAUAGUGACUGAGCUUCUGUCGUACACUAGGCAUUUAAAGCUGGAUUUAGACCUAUGCGUUAAGGUGAUGUGCAUAGAAGACCUUGAAAGGAAUCAGAAUGUGAGGACUCCACUUUAAGAGAUGGAAUAUUUUAUAUUUUAUUGAAAUUAUUUUCCUGCGACUAUCAAAAUAGUGCCGCUACUACAUAGAUUGAACAAGAAAAUUUUAAAAACUAAUACCGUAUGACUUUCGGGGUAAACUAAUAAAGAAAUAUUUCAAAGUUUAGAGAAAUCGUUUUGCUUCAAAAAUCUUUCAUACCUUUAUAAUAAUGGAAAGCAGCUAGAUUUAAGAAUCAUUAAUCUCUUCUCUGAGAAAAAAAUGUGUUCAACAGUGUUAGACACUGUUCAACAGACGGUAUCCGAUGCUUACUUUUCUUCAAAAGAUUAUAUCGAUAUUUAUUUCAUGCCUAGAACUAAAUUCAGAAAAUAUUUUUGAUAAAAAUUUUUAAUAAAAAGUAGAAUGUAAAAUUGUUGACAAAUAUAAAUAUGUAAUCAUAAAAGUAAUAAAAUACAUUUAUAAAGAAAAUUCUGUACACAUUCUGUACCUAUGUAGUCGCAUUCUCAAAGUUCUCAAGCUGUAUAUAUAAUCAUACGCAAACCCAUGCAUAGAACAUCGAAUAAAAGAGUCCCAUUCUUUCACAAGGAGAAAUAUUGUGUGAAAAACUAGAAGAUUGACAAUGGGAAUACUUCAUCUGAGAGAAUCCUAAGCUAAGAUUCAAAAAUUGCCUGCCAACUGUACUCUAUCAUCGCUCAAUGCAUAGUCAAAAUAUGGUCUAUAAGUUCCGAUACAGUCUUCAAUUAUUAGGAAAAGAGAAUCAGUAAUUGUCCAUGAAAUCCUUAAUUAAAAUUCUAACAUUUCAUACCUGUAGAACUAGUAUUCAGUUAACGCUUUUCAUACAUGCAGAGUGGUUGGUAGACGACGACUUAAGACAAUAAUAUUCCGCAGCAAAAGCCUUCUUCUGAAAUUCAUAUUCAGUGAUAUUAAAACUUGCCAGAAUAAUGAUACAUUUCUUACUAUUUUUGAGAAAUAAGAAGUUAGCUAUUAAUACCCGGCGUUUUUAAGUAGAAAAAUGCUAUUUAACUAAAAAUAUAAAGAAAUAUAGCAUUUACUAUGUAUGUGCUAUCGUGAUGUAAAUAGUUAUCUCAUCCAGCAAGCAAGGAGAACAUCUGUGGUUCGAAUCACUGAAAGGACACAGUUGAUUCGCCACUUGUCUUGUUCCAGAAAACAAAUGACUUUACAAUGGUUCCCGAUAGUUAACGUUAAUUCGUCAACACCUGGAUUUGGUCAAUAGGGUGUAGAGCCUCCCACCAGUUGCCCUUUAAAUGCGGCAGAAUGCUCAAAAUUAUCGCAUUCGCCCCCCCCCCGUGCAUGCUGUCAUGACGCAUAAGUUUAUCAGGCCCAGUUACAAAAGGAAGAUCAAUAACUCAAAUCCUAACAGGAAUUCAGUUCAUUUUUCACGUUUCUUUCUCAGAAAAAUUAAUAGUAUGUGUUUUUACAAUAGCCAAAUUAUUAAUAGAGUGUUGCAAUUUGAGCGAAUACAAAUACAUACCAAGAAAAAAUGACGUGCUGAUACCACAGAGUGAAAAUUUAACAGUCAUAAUAGUCAGUAAUGAAUGAGUGAACAUUAGCUGUUAUAAAACUUGGUAAACCAAAGAAUUUUUAUUGAAUCAUCGAAUAGAUUUAAAAAUCGGUUUUACUCUUUAACGUGAUUGAAUGUACUUUUAAUCAUUUAGCUUAUGCGCAGAUGUAUAAUUCACUAGAGAUGAACUCAAAUAUUACUUCUGUUUGAUUUUGGGGGUUAUUGAACGUUACUUACGUUAAAUGAAAUGUAGUAGCUAACGAAAGAAAUGUUAGAGAUGUGACUGAGGCAUAAUCUUUAAUGGCUGCUUUCCUUGAGCUUUAUACAAUAGAUUACAGAGUAUAUCAACCCAUGAUAUAUGAGAAAAAGCAUAAAACGGAAAGUAGGGUGAUAGUUUGAGUGGUAUAAACUUAACAAUGAUAACUGCCUUGUUACAUCAUUGGGGUCUAGUUGGCAUUUCAUUUAUUUCGUUAGGCAUUUGACUAUGAGUCGGUGCAUUUCUUCAAAGCCGAUGCUAUCCAGAACACUCUGCUACGUUUCUUCCCCGUUCCUGUCUUCGACAGUUACGUUCCAUGUCAGGAUUCCGCUCAUCACAUCCCCGCACUACGCUGGAGAGAGCCACGACCACUGGCCACGUCAAUAACAAGGACGACACGUACUCUUAAUUUGUACAGGUACACUUCUUACCGACUUCAGCACUACGCAAAGGCAAGGUGGAAAGCAAAUAUCCCAACAACUUCAAAAUAUGCUCUACGAAGACCAUUAAUGGAAUCUUUGAUGUGAAAAUACCUGAGGCACUGCUUACAUAUGCACAGACGAGCUUGUCCAGACUCCAUAAACAUUAAGAACGAGCUUGUCCAGGACUUCAUGGCACUUCAUCAGAUUUGUUCAGUUUCAAAUUUGAAGUCAAAGCCUUCUGGAAUAAGAUAAUUAAAGGCUUUUCUUAUUUCGACAUCAGCCUUGCCAGUUUCUAUUUACCCUAGGGCUAUUCACCACAUAGGAUCGAAAAAUAUAGAUCAGACGUAAAAUUUAUGUGUUCAUAGCAAGGUUUCUAGAGUAUGAUUUAUUAACAUUGCACGAUGAUUAUAUCGAUGUAUACGAUUCAUCUCGUAAUGCUGAUUUUUAAGCAAAAGCAGCAAUGAAUGUUUAAAAUGCAGCUUUCAGUUACACUGAAGUAUGCAAGUCUCUAGUAAGAGUUAUUUUUCUUACUUGAACUCUGCUAACAGUUUUAGUGGGAAAAAGAAAGUUAUUUCUGAUGCAUGCAUGCCAUCCGGCAAAUCCAAGAAGUGUGAGAACAGAAGGCGAAAAAUAAAUAUCAUGCCAACUUUAGAAAGCCUUGCAACUAUGUCUAGGACCACUUUAAAUUCCCGUUCUAAUAAAAAAGAUCUAAUUUAAAAUAUAGCUGAAAAUGUAAUCCAGUUUUUUACGAUGGGUAAAGCACUAGUUAAAAUUGUCUAGUGCUGCUGAUUAGUCUACAUAGUGAUUAUAUAUCAAAAGUUAAAGUUAACGUGAUAAAUAUUAUCGAAAGAAGAAGAAUUUCGAAUUAAGACUUACUUAAUUCAAGUUAAUUAAUUUUUCAAUGUUGAUGUUCCAAAAUUUUUGCCAGACAUCUUUCUAUAUUUUAUUUUAAUGUUCAUAUUUUAUGUUUUUUAAUCUGAGCAAUAACUUGCUUAUAAGUUUUAAAUUAAAUAUAUAGUUCUAACUUAAAAAUAGGAUAGUAAAACUUAUGAAAAAAUUAACAUGAUUCAAGAUUAAGAUACUUUUAUUAUGUGUUUUAUUAUGCAGAUACACUAUAGAAACUCAGGCUCUUAUACUCAAUUAAACACUUUCUGAAUAUUUAAUUAACCGCUUUAAUUUGAAUUUCACUUGAGGUUUGAAGCAUUUUAGAUUAUGUGUACAGAAACUGAAACAAUCAGACGCAUGUAAUAAUAUCAAAAAUAGGCAAAGCUUUCAAUAGCUACUCGUAAUAAGACAAAAUAAGUCGUAUUUAAAGGAAAUCAGUAUAAAAAUUCUAGAACUAGUUAAAAGUAGUCAGAUAAGUGCAGAAAAUAAUUCGAAUUUUUUUUAUUGAUAAAACUUAAAUAACAACCACCUGCUAAAAUUAAGUAAACUACCUUUCGGAUUUCAACAAGAUUUCCUUUUUUUUUAAAGUGUAGAAGCUUUUAAAUUUUAUUCGAUUUCUAUAUCAUGUAUACUCUUUCUAAGGACGUUUUCAAAAUGUAGUUUUGGCAGUUUAAAUAAUAUAAUCCAGCUAAAUCAAUUUAGAACUUUCUUUGCCACAUUUCUUUUUUUUUUAACUCACCGUGAACAUUAUAAGAACAAAAAUAAUGCAUUAAUUAAUAAAAGACUGAAAACCUAUGUCUACCUUUCACUCAUUUCUUAAUUUUCUUUUAUCAUGAUGGAAUUCGAUCGGUAUGCUUUAUUGCAUUAAUGCUAACGGACUCAUGUACGCGUAUGAAGAGUCUGUAAGUUCUUUUUUUUUUUUUUCAAAUAAUAUCUGUAUUGUGGGCAGAUAUUUUUCAAUUAGGAGCUCCCGCUUAUCAGUAAAUUUUGAUACUUAAUGAUACGGAUAACCUCCAGACAAACAAAAUUAAACCUUGCGAAAUCCUUACUUCAAUGCCCGGCUUUUUUAUUUUUCGCACCGAAAAUCAGAUCAGUUUUAAGUAGCUUAUUUGAUAAAAUGCAAUCAGUCUGGCAUUAGCAUAUAUGAAUCAACACGUCAGCUUUUUAUAGAUAAAGUAUACACACUUAAGGCAAUCUAUUGAAAAAUUAUUUACCUUCUUGAUUUUCAAGAGCUUUUCGACCAAAACAUUAAAGAAUCUGUUGCUAUUUAUCUUCAGACUCUGAUACGGAAAAUGUUAAUUUAAUAUGGUAUAUCUACCAAUAUACCUUAAUUAAGAAAAGCAUAUCAGUUAGUGAUGCUGUUUUUGGAGGGCUCCGGCACAAAUGGUUUUAGAAAUUAAGCACUUAUCUAGGCCAAGGAAUGGGAGUAAAUUCUACACUACAGUGUUCAUCGGUAUCGGGGGCGGACCACGGCGCAAUGUCUGAGCCGGCCGAGCUGGUAUCACGCUGCAAAGUAUGGCGUACCGUGGUACAAGUACAGAAAUGGUAAUGAAGUGCGAAAGGACCUCUUGCCUCGGUAGAUGCAAGGAAUUUCCACCCAAAGCUAAUGGACAUACGUUUAGUAUCAGAUACUAGGAGACACCGUCAUUCCUCAACAUCCAGGACGGAGGAAAAUGUGCAAGUGGUUCAGAAAUCACAAAGACAUGCAUCUCGGGAAAGUGAUUUAACCCGACACAGAAUCCGAACUGGAAUCGUACCGGCAUGGAGGUUGAGCUCGCCACACAGGGUGGACGUUGCGGCGUGGUUCGCCACUAAUAGCUGCAUAAAUGAGAUAUCAUAUAAUAAAUUCUACCAUUGUAAGGAACAAAAUAUUUUUUGUCUCUUGCGAAUUCGUUAACUAUUUAAAAAGUAAUAAACAAUUUUCAAUAGGGA